This 225-nucleotide unclassified non-coding RNA is filed under the name plant metagenome. Its description in RNAcentral is "partial contains small subunit ribosomal RNA, internal transcribed spacer 1, and 5.8S ribosomal RNA". The record is from RNAcentral.
UCUCCGUUGGUGAACCAGCGGAGGGAUCAUUACAGGACUCGCAAGACUCCUACAACCCUGUGAACUUAACUAUAAGCACGUUUCUUCGGCGGGUGUCUCGGAGGGGGUUCUCCCUCCCCGAGACGCUAAACCCGCCGGCAGCCUACUAUACUCUGUCUCUUUGCGUUGGCAUCUCGAGUACAAUCAAACAAGUUAAAACUUUCAACAACGGAUCUCUUGGUUCUG